CCUACGGGAGGCAGCAGUGGGGAAUAUUGCGCAAUGGACGAAAGUCUGACGCAGCAACGCCGCGUGAGGGAUGACGGCCUUCGGGUUGUAAACCUCUUUCAGCAGGGACGAAGCGAGAGUGACGGUACCUGCAGAAGAAGGACCGGCCAACUACGUGCCAGCAGCCGCGGUAAUACGUAGGGUCCGAGCGUUGUCCGGAAUUAUUGGGCGUAAAGGGCUCGUAGGCGGUUCGUCACGUCGGGAGUGAAAACUCGGAGCUCAACUCCGAGCCUGCUUCCGAUACGGGCAGACUAGAGGUAGGCAGGGGAGAGCGGAACUCCUGGUGUAGCGGUGGAAUGCGCAGAUAUCAGGAAGAACACCGGUGGCGAAGGCGGCUCUCUGGGCCUUACCUGACGCUGAGGAGCGAAAGCGUGGGUAGCGAACAGGAUUAGAUACCCUGGUAGUCCACGCCGUAAACGUUGGGCGCUAGGUGUGGGGGACGAUUCCACGUCCUCCGUGCCGCAGCUAACGCAUUAAGCGCCCGCCUGGGAGUCGGCCGCAAGGCUAAACUCAAUGAAUUGACGGCGNGAGAGNGCGACGCGACGACGAGGAGAGG
This 595-nucleotide ribosomal RNA is filed under the name uncultured bacterium. RNAcentral describes it as "bacterial SSU rRNA". It matches the Rfam family "Bacterial small subunit ribosomal RNA", at positions 338 to 945 of the family's 1533-position model. The record is from RNAcentral.